GGAAAACACCAUCUUCAC
This 18-nucleotide small nuclear RNA is filed under the name Arabidopsis thaliana (thale cress). RNAcentral describes it as "snRNA_06958". Lineage: Eukaryota; Viridiplantae; Streptophyta; Magnoliopsida; Brassicales; Brassicaceae. The record is from RNAcentral.